This 253-nucleotide ribosomal RNA is filed under the name uncultured bacterium. Its description in RNAcentral is "partial 16S ribosomal RNA". It matches the Rfam family "Bacterial small subunit ribosomal RNA", at positions 524 to 776 of the family's 1533-position model. The record is from RNAcentral.
UACAGAGGUCUCAAGCGUUGUUCGGAUUCAUUGGGCGUAAAGGGUGCGUAGGCGGCACGGUAAGUCGGGUGUGAAAUCUUGGAGCUUAACUCCGAAACUGCAUUCGAUACUGCCGUGCUUGAGGACUGGAGAGGAGACUGGAAUUUUCGGUGUAGCGGUGAAAUGCGUAGAUAUCGUAAGGAAGACCAGUGGCGAAGGCGGGUCUCUGGACAGUUCCUGACGCUGAGGCACGAAGGUCAGGGGAGCAAACGGG